Molecule: ribosomal RNA, 448 nt
Filed under: uncultured bacterium
Lineage: Bacteria
Description: partial 16S ribosomal RNA
Rfam family: Bacterial small subunit ribosomal RNA
Source: RNAcentral
CCUACGGGGGGCUGCAGUGGGGAAUUUUGGACAAUGGGCGCAAGCCUGAUCCAGCCAUUCCGCGUGAGUGAAGAAGGCCUUCGGGUUGUAAAGCUCUUUCGCAAGGGAAGAAAACUUAUCCUCUAACAUAGGAUGAGGUUGACGGUACCUUGAUAAGAAGCACCGGCUAACUACGUGCCAGCAGCCGCGGUAAUACGUAGGGUGCGAGCGGUAAUCGGAGUUCGCAGGCGUAAUUGUAAGUCAGACUGUUAAUCCCCGAGCUCAACUUGGGAACUGCGUUUGAAACUACAAGACUAGAAUAGGUCAGAGGGGGGUAGAAUUCCACGUGUAGCAGGGAAAUGCGUAGAGAUGUGGAGGAAUAUCAAUGGCGAAGGCAGCCCCCUGGGAUCAUAUUGACGCUCAUGCACGAAAGCGUGGGGAGCAAACAGGAUUAGAUACCCGGGUAGUC